Molecule: transfer RNA, 75 nt
Filed under: Thermoanaerobacteraceae bacterium
Lineage: Bacteria; Bacillati; Bacillota; Clostridia; Thermoanaerobacterales; Thermoanaerobacteraceae
Also listed under: 2 other names
Description: tRNA-Gly
Rfam family: tRNA
About the family: Transfer RNA (tRNA) molecules are approximately 80 nucleotides in length. Their secondary structure includes four short double-helical elements and three loops (D, anti-codon, and T loops).
Source: RNAcentral
GCGGAUGUGGCUUAGUGGUAGAGCAUCGGCUUCCCAAGCCGAGGAUCGCGGGUUCGAAUCCCGUCAUCCGCUCCA